RNAcentral lists this ribosomal RNA (175 nucleotides) under uncultured bacterium. RNAcentral describes it as "partial 16S ribosomal RNA". It matches the Rfam family "Bacterial small subunit ribosomal RNA", at positions 118 to 291 of the family's 1533-position model. The record is from RNAcentral.
UAAGGAACAUGACCUUCGGCGGGGGAUAGCCGGCCCAACGGCCGGGUAAUACCGCGUACGACCUUUCGGGGACAUCCCUGGAUGGUGAAAGCAGCAAUGCGCCGAUGGAGUGCCUCGCGGCCUAUCAGCUAGUUGGUGAGGUAACGGCUCACCAAGGCAACGACGGGUANCUGGU